Molecule: non-coding RNA, 98 nt
Organism: Mycena leptocephala
Lineage: Eukaryota; Fungi; Basidiomycota; Agaricomycetes; Agaricales; Mycenaceae
Source: the annotation of a GenBank genome assembly
GGCCGCCUGGCGAAAUGGCAUCGCGUCUGACUACGAUUCAAUUUCACUGUCUUGUAAUCGGAAUCAGGAGAUUGCAGGUUCGACCCCUGCGGUGGUCA